UGGGACCCAAAUUUGUACAGAGACAAGGUAGCGUGGAGAGAAAACAACACCCAGCAACCCAGAAGUCUUCAACCACCACUUCUUAUGCCUGGGUUUUAGUUCUUCAGCUGUGUCAUGUGGGAAAAUGUCACUUUCCUUCUGGGGAUUAUAGAAUUCAUGUCUCUUUGACUAGUUGUAGCUGGAAGCAUAUGCAAAUGUUUCCAUUGUGAUGGAAGCAACAAGCUGAUGUCAGUCGAUCUGACAAAAUUAAAAUCUGUUUAAUUUUGUCCUGGCAUCUUUAUCCCCAAAUCUGAAUCUACCAUCAGAUCCCACAGUUGUAAAGGUGCCACAAAUAUGAUGGAAUGUGUUUCCAUUUACUGAAUAGAUGUCCUGAAAUGUGAGCAAAAUGUUCAAAAUGUAGCCACAGGUUUCAGUGAGGCCUCUAACUUACACUUCUUAUAUCUGCACAAGAAGAGCAUGCCCCAGGAAACAGCAGUUGCUUCAGCUUGGGUGCUGAGUGAAGAGUCCUGUGAAGCCAACUGGAAGUCUCUCCACAGCCUGGAGCAGAACUGCAGCUCACCCAUCUGCCCUCAUGCACGUGACCAAGAGAUAACCUGGCGAUUAAAUAGGAUCCACCGAAUGUGGCAUUUGACUUGCCAUUUCUUACGAAGAAAUUGGCUGUGACAUGGGGGCAGUUUGUGUUUCUGGAGGAACUAGUCUCUGACUGAAGCAUUAAGAGGACCUGGACAAAGCCUGAGGCAGAAAGCCUCUUGGUAAGCUAAAGCACAUGUGUAU
This is a long non-coding RNA of Bos indicus x Bos taurus (hybrid cattle), 774 nucleotides long. Lineage: Eukaryota; Metazoa; Chordata; Mammalia; Artiodactyla; Bovidae. The record is from Ensembl.